GGGGAUGUAGCUCAAAUGGUAGAGCGCUUCGCUUAGCAUGCGAGAGGUACAGGGAUCGAUACCCCUGCUUCUCCA
This 75-nucleotide transfer RNA is filed under the name Phytophthora infestans T30-4. It matches the Rfam family "tRNA". From Rfam's summary of the family: Transfer RNA (tRNA) molecules are approximately 80 nucleotides in length. Their secondary structure includes four short double-helical elements and three loops (D, anti-codon, and T loops). The record is from Rfam by way of RNAcentral. Lineage: Eukaryota; Oomycota; Peronosporomycetes; Peronosporales; Peronosporaceae.